Molecule: long non-coding RNA, 562 nt
Organism: Erinaceus europaeus (western European hedgehog)
Lineage: Eukaryota; Metazoa; Chordata; Mammalia; Eulipotyphla; Erinaceidae
Exons: 2
Source: RefSeq, a predicted model, not a curated record
GAAACAUGGGCUCGAGUGAAGAACACAUAAAGGAGCGAGACGAUACGGGCCAAGGAAGAAGAUUGUGCUCUGUGAAUUCUGAGUGGAACGUGCACAGGGCAUGGCGAGAUGUAAGUCCAGAAAGCCUGGAGGCAGAUCUGUCCAGUGUGCCACCGCCCACUCCGGAGAACUCCCCCUUUCCUUGCUGUUGUCUCUCAGAGACUGAGGGUGACUCAGGCCCCCACUGCCUGCCUUCAUCACAGAUGCAAGUAGAGCUACGUGGUUUAUCUCACAGAAGAGAGACUGACUAGAAGACUUCUCCUGAGAUGUCUUCUGUCUGUAGAGGUUGCUAAGCUCCAGAGAAGCCUCAGAUGCCCACAGUCCACUUUCUCUGCGUGGGGAGAACCUUCCUCAGGAGGUAGCCAACACAGAGGUGACCGAGGCUGGGGUGGAGGGACACAGACUUCCAAACUGCCAGGUCUCCUGAUGGAAUGGGCACUGCACAGUCCAUUAACAGAUCCCUGAAUUCUUGGGCCACAUUAGCAAAAUAAUAUCCAGAGAUAAAAUCAAACUAUAAAUGUGA